ACGGGUGAGUAACACGUAGCUUACCAUCCUCCGAGAGUGGGAUAACGGCUCGAAAGAGCUGCUAAUACCGCAUAAGCUCACGAGCUAUAGAGGCUUGAGAGAAAAGGGGAAACUCGCUCGGAGACGGGGCUGCGGCCCAUCAGCUAGUUGGUGAGGUAACGGCUUACCAAGGCGACGACGGGUAGGGGACCUGAGAGGGUGACCCCCCACACUGGGACUGAGACACGGCCCAGACUCCUACGGGAGGCAGCAGUGAGGAAUAUUGCACAAUGGGCGCAAGCCUGAUGCAGCGACGCCGCGUGAGUGAAGAAGGCCUUCGGGUCGUAAAGCUCUUUUCUGCGUGACGAGCAAGGACGGUAGCGCAGGAAUAAGUCUCGGCUAACUACGUGCCAGCAGCCGCGGUAAAACGUAGGAGACAAACGUUAUCCGGAGUUACUGGGCGUAAAGGGCGUGCAGGUGGUCUGUUAAGUCUGGCGUGAAAGCUCCUGGCUAAACCGGGAGAGGUCGUUGGAUACUGGCGGACUAGAGGACGGUAGAGGCGUGUGGAAUUCCGGGUGUAGUGGUGAAAUGCGUAGA
RNAcentral lists this ribosomal RNA (576 nucleotides) under uncultured bacterium. Its description in RNAcentral is "bacterial SSU rRNA". It matches the Rfam family "Bacterial small subunit ribosomal RNA", at positions 102 to 694 of the family's 1533-position model. The record is from RNAcentral.